This 632-nucleotide long non-coding RNA is filed under the name Homo sapiens (human). Its description in RNAcentral is "non-protein coding lnc-NFS1-1:14". The record is from RNAcentral. Lineage: Eukaryota; Metazoa; Chordata; Mammalia; Primates; Hominidae.
CUGAUAACAUACAUUAGUAGCAAUAUUAAAUAAGGUAAAAUAACUCCAGUGACAUCCUAGUUACAUGCUUGGGGUGGGUUUUUGGUUUCGUUUUAAAGUAUUUAUGAGGGAUACUUUCAUGCAUUUUCCAUGAAACUAAUUUUUCUCUUUCUUUUUUUAGCUUCAGCUUUAGCUGCAGCUGCCUCUGUUCAGCCACUUGCAACACAAUGUUUCCAACUCUCUAACAUGUUUAACCCUCAAACAGAAGAAGAAGUUGGAUGGGAUACCGAGAUUAAGGAUGAUGUGAUUGAAGAAUGUAAUAAACAUGGAGGAGUUAUUCAUAUUUAUGUUGACAAAAAUUCAGCUCAGGGCAAUGUGUAUGUGAAGUGCCCAUCAAUUGCUGCAGCUAUUGCUGCUGUCAAUGCAUUGCAUGGCAGGUGGUUUGCUGGUAAAAUGAUAACAGCAGCAUAUGUACCUCUUCCAACUUACCACAACCUGUUUCCUGAUUCUAUGACAGCAACACAGCUACUGGUUCCAAGUAGACGAUGAAGGAAGAUAUAGUCCCUUAUGUAUAUAGCUUUUUUUCUUUCUUGAGAAUUCAUCUUGAGUUAUCUUUUAUUUAGAUAAAAAUAAAGAGGCAAGGAUCUACUGUC